UGCAUUCACUACUGUAAGUCGCUCUGGAUAAGAGCGUCUGCUAAAUGACGUAAG
Molecule: non-coding RNA, 54 nt
Organism: Salmo salar (Atlantic salmon)
Lineage: Eukaryota; Metazoa; Chordata; Actinopteri; Salmoniformes; Salmonidae
Source: Rfam